GGAGAGGUGGCUGAGUGGCUGAAAGCGCCAGAUUGCUAAUCUGUUGUAUGUGUUUAUCAUACCGAGGGUUCGAAUCCCUUCCUCUCCU
This 88-nucleotide transfer RNA is filed under the name Gracilaria pacifica. RNAcentral describes it as "tRNA-Ser". It matches the Rfam family "tRNA". Rfam says of the family: Transfer RNA (tRNA) molecules are approximately 80 nucleotides in length. Their secondary structure includes four short double-helical elements and three loops (D, anti-codon, and T loops). Lineage: Eukaryota; Rhodophyta; Florideophyceae; Gracilariales; Gracilariaceae. The record is from RNAcentral.